GUUGUUCGGAAGCGCGUAGGCAUCACCGGUCCGGUCCCAAAAGAGGCUGGUUAUCCUCUGCGGAGAUUAUGUGAUCGUGUACUUUCCAGGUGUUAGAGUAAUGUCGUCACGGUAGACCAUCGCAAAUUUCCGUCAUUAGCCGGGGUGUUAUUAGUUUUUGAAACGUUGAUGGUGCGUUUUUGAGGUGGAAUGGUAUUGCUCUGAAUUGGUGGCAGGCGCCGCCGCCGUCUGGAGUGGUGAAAUCCGCCAGUGCGCGUUCCAGUUAAAUUCGAAGAGGAGUAUUGAUUAAUAAAAUAAAAUUAACAUAUAAUUGAUUAACGUAUACGUUAAUCAAUGGUUGGAUACAGCGAGGUCGAAUUCGCUAAGAAAAUACCUUUUACCUCAAAAGUAAUCGAUUUGCUUCUAGAUAUUAUACCAAUUCCUCUCUACACAAACUAAGUGACUUCCUAAUCUUUGGAUGUAUGAUUUUACAACAGCCGAUAGAAAGGGGUGGAAGUGAGCUUUUUCUUGUAGAUGAACGAUCUUGAAGAUAAACGAAUAAUGGUCUAAAUUACAUACGACAACAAUACUUUUGAGAAUAAGAUACUAAUGAGAAUAUUUAAAG
This is a long non-coding RNA of Photinus pyralis (common eastern firefly), 604 nucleotides long. RefSeq lists it as uncharacterized. NCBI's taxonomy places the organism in Eukaryota, Metazoa, Arthropoda, Insecta, Coleoptera, Lampyridae. The record is from RefSeq and is a predicted model, not a curated record. The transcript has 3 exons.